RNAcentral lists this long non-coding RNA (473 nucleotides) under Homo sapiens (human). Its description in RNAcentral is "long intergenic non-protein coding RNA 1505". Lineage: Eukaryota; Metazoa; Chordata; Mammalia; Primates; Hominidae. The record is from RNAcentral.
GCACUGGCAUAUACAAACACGCCCACAGAACCAAACCAAGCGGACAAGGCUUCAAGGAGAGCUUCUGGGCGGCUCAUUCCCGCGGCGAGGCAUAUCCCUUGGCAUGGUGCCACUGCAGCCCAGCUCCCAGCCCCCCCGCCAUCUGUCAUCAGCGCUCUGCCUACUGCCAAGAGAUGCAAAGGAUUAAUCAUGAACCCAGUUGCCCAGAGGUGGAAAAAAAAAUCUGUUGUGGUAGACUGAAGAAGCAAGAAGUUAUAUGGCAAAUACUUGCAACAACUGGAAAAAAACAGAAGAGGGAAAGAAAGAAGUAAAAUCUCCCACCAAGUUUAUCAACCCAGAGCCACAGCUACUGUUUUGUAAUCUCCAGGCGACUAUAUAUCUAGGCUAUGAAUCCACAUCUUUUUCACCCAACUCACUAUUCAAGAUUUAUGUGAUUCAGGGUAUUAAAUGCUAAUAUAUUUCUGUUGCUCAAA